GACGAACGCUGGCGGCGUGCUUAACACAUGCAAGUCGAACGGAAAGGCCCUGCUUUUGUGGGGUGCUCGAGUGGCGAACGGGUGAGUAACACGUGAGUAACCUGCCCUUGACUUUGGGAUAACUUCAGGAAACUGGGGCUACUACCGGAUAGGAGCUCCUGCUGCAUGGUGGGGGUUGGAAAGUUUCGGCGGUUGGGGAUGGACGCGCGGCUUAUCAGCUUGUUGGUGGGGUAGUGGCUUACCAAGGCUUUGACGGGUAGCCGGCCUGAGAGGGUGACCGGCCACAUUGGGACUGAGAUACGGCCCAGACUCCUACGGGAGGCAGCAGUGGGGAAUAUUGCACAAUGGGCGGAAGCCUGAUGCAGCAACGCCGCGUGCGGGAUGACGGCCUUCGGGUUGUAAACCGCUUUCGCCUGUGACGAAGCGUGAGUGACGGUAAUGGGUAAAGAAGCACCGGCUAACUACGUG
RNAcentral lists this ribosomal RNA (468 nucleotides) under uncultured bacterium. RNAcentral's name for it is "partial 16S ribosomal RNA". It matches the Rfam family "Bacterial small subunit ribosomal RNA", at positions 28 to 507 of the family's 1533-position model. The record is from RNAcentral.